UAUUCUGCCCCAUGGAGAAGGAUGAGAAGCUUCGACUAAGGUUCGACUCGAGCGAAGCGAGAGAACGUUGCCGCAGGCAACGGCCCGAAGGGCGAGGCGCUUUAGCGCCGAGUAAUCCUUCCCCCACCACCA
This 132-nucleotide small RNA is filed under the name Klebsiella pneumoniae. RNAcentral describes it as "RtT sRNA". It matches the Rfam family "RtT RNA". From Rfam's summary of the family: This family represents a bacterial cis-regulatory element known as RtT RNA. The exact function of RtT is unknown although it is thought that it may be involved in changing the cellular response in relation to amino acid starvation. The record is from RNAcentral. RNAcentral also lists the same sequence under 1 other name. Lineage: Bacteria; Pseudomonadati; Pseudomonadota; Gammaproteobacteria; Enterobacterales; Enterobacteriaceae.